AAUCAACGCUGGCGGCGUGCCUAACACAUGCAAGUCGAACGCGAAAGCCCCUUCGGGGGUAAGUAGAGUGGCGUCCGGGUGAGUAACACGUAGGUAAUCUGCCUUCGGGUGGGGAAUAACCAGUCGAAAGAUUGGCUAAUACCGCAUAAUGCAGCGGCACCUAAUGGUGAUUAGUUGUUAAAGCGGGGGAUCGUAAGACCUCGCGCCUGAAGAGGAGCCUGCGGCAGAUUAGCUAGNGGUGAGGUAAUGGCUCACCAAGGCUUCGAUCUGUAGCUGGUCUGAGAGGACGGCCAGCCACACUGGCACUGACACACGGGCCAGACUCCUACGGGAGGCAGCAGUGGGGAAUUUUGGGCAAUGGGCGAAAGCCUGACCCAGCAACGCCGCGUGAGGGGAGGAAAUCCUUCGGGAUGUAAACCUCACAAGCAAGGGAAGAGAGCUCAAGGCCGAAUAAGCUUUGAGUCCGACGGUACCUUGCGUAAGCCACGGCUAACUACGUGCCAGC
This 505-nucleotide ribosomal RNA is filed under the name uncultured bacterium. RNAcentral's name for it is "bacterial SSU rRNA". It matches the Rfam family "Bacterial small subunit ribosomal RNA", at positions 32 to 512 of the family's 1533-position model. The record is from RNAcentral.